Long non-coding RNA from Cicer arietinum (chickpea), 614 nucleotides. RefSeq lists it as uncharacterized. Lineage: Eukaryota; Viridiplantae; Streptophyta; Magnoliopsida; Fabales; Fabaceae. The record is from RefSeq and is a predicted model, not a curated record.
AAUGUUAAUAUAUUUUUGUCUACGUGUGGUGUCAUCAUCCGAGUCAACGAGUCGCCAACCGAGUCGAAGUAGCUGACGCGUCUUCAAACUCAAAAGCUUAUUUCGUUGAAAUUUCAUUAGACGCCACAUUUUACUCCUCCUUCUUUCUCUACCUAUAAAUACCAUUUUUUUCUUCCUUAAAUUCAAAUUCAAUAACAUACCCUUUUAUUUUUAAAUUUUCUCACCUCUUUAUACUUCAUUUGCUCAACUUUUCCAUCAUUUUCUAGCUUCUUUUAUUUCUCCAAGAAAAUAAUGAAGAGAAUGAAUAUUUUCUUCUUUCCACUUUUUAGUUUAUUUUUCAUGGCAAUUUCUCAUAUGGGUCAUGCUCAGAAUCUUGAUCUUUCUCCAGCACCUGCUCCUACCAGUGAUGGCACUGCUCUGGAUCAAGGUGUUGCUUAUUUUCUUAUGAUGCUGGCACUGGUGAUUACAUAUAUGUUCCAUUGAUUUUAUUUUAAUUUUUUCUUGAUUAUUGUUCAAGGAAAUUCCAGAAUUUUUUGUAAUUAUUAUUGAUGAAUUUUAAUAUUAAUAGUAUUCUUUGAUACAUGUCCUUCUUGUGCUUAGAGUUUUAUGGCGAA